AUACGGAGGAUCCGAGCGUUAUCCGGAUUUAUUGGGUUUAAAGGGUGCGCAGGCGGCCAUUUAAGUCAGCGGUUAAAUCGUGGGGCUCAACCCCAUUCUGCCGUUGAUACUGGGUGGCUUGAUUGCGGUCGAGGUUGGCGGAAUUCGUUGUGUAGCGGUGAAAUGCAUAGAUAUGACGAAGAACACCGAUUGCGUAGGCAGCUGACCAGACCGCAAAUGACGCUCAUGCACGAAAGUGCGGGGAUCGAACAGGAUUAGAUACCCUGGUAGUCCGCACAGUAAACGAUGAAUGCUUGUUUUCGGCGAUAUAAUGUCGGAGGCAAAGCGAAAGCGAUAAGUAUUCCGCCUGGGGAGUACGCCGGCAACGGUGAAACUCAAAUGAAUUGACGGGG
Molecule: ribosomal RNA, 392 nt
Filed under: uncultured bacterium
Lineage: Bacteria
Description: partial 16S ribosomal RNA
Rfam family: Bacterial small subunit ribosomal RNA
Source: RNAcentral